Molecule: ribosomal RNA, 32 nt
Filed under: Asimitellaria kiusiana
Lineage: Eukaryota; Viridiplantae; Streptophyta; Magnoliopsida; Saxifragales; Saxifragaceae
Description: Mitella kiusiana partial 18S ribosomal RNA
Source: RNAcentral
CUACCUGGUUGAUCCUGCCAGUAGYCAUAUGC